Non-coding RNA from Paramuricea clavata, 78 nucleotides. The record is from the annotation of a GenBank genome assembly. NCBI's taxonomy places the organism in Eukaryota, Metazoa, Cnidaria, Anthozoa, Malacalcyonacea, Plexauridae.
GACUCUGUAGCUCAGUUGGUUAGAGCAUUGCACCGGAAUUGCGGGGCCGGCGCGGCGGUUCAAUUCCUGCCAGGGACC